GCCGCGGUGGUGAAAUUGGUAUACACGUACGGUUCAGAGCCGUAUGUUCGUAAGGACAUGGGAGUUCGAGUCUCCCCCGCGGCA
This is a non-coding RNA of Candidatus Buchananbacteria bacterium, 84 nucleotides long. Lineage: Bacteria; Candidatus Buchananiibacteriota. The record is from Rfam.